RNAcentral lists this ribosomal RNA (524 nucleotides) under uncultured bacterium. Its description in RNAcentral is "bacterial SSU rRNA". It matches the Rfam family "Bacterial small subunit ribosomal RNA", at positions 96 to 633 of the family's 1533-position model. The record is from RNAcentral.
UGGCGAACGGUCGCGUAACACGUAAGAAACCUGCCCAAGAGUGGGGGACAACGAUCCGAAAGGGUCGCUAAUACCGCAUACAGACACCGAUCGGCAUCGGUUGGUGUCCAAAGCUUGAUGCGCUUUUGGAUGGUCUUGCGGCCUAUCAGGUAGAUGGUGGGGUAACGGCCUACCAUGCCGACGACGGGUAGCUGGUCUGAGAGGACGAUCAGCCGGAUUGGGACUGAGAUACGGCCCAGACUCCUACGGGGGGCAGCAAUUAGGAAUCUUGCGCAAUGGACGAAAGUCUGACGCAGCGACGCCGCGUGAGGGAUGACGGCAUUCGUGUUGUAAACCUCUUUUGUCGGGGAAGAAAAAAAUGACGGUACCCGGCGAAUAAGCCCCGGCUAACUACGUGCCAGCAGCCGCGGUAAUACGUAGGGGGCGAGCGUUGUCCGAAGUUACUGGGCGUAAAGCGCGCGUAGGCGGCUUUUUAAGUCUGGGGUGAAAGGUUCAACGCUUAACGUGAACAGUGCCUUGGAUAC